UGGCGGACGGGUGAGUAACGCGUGGAUAACCUGCCUUAUACAGGGGGAUAACAGGGAGAAAUUCUUGCUAAUACCCCAUAGGUAUGUCUGACGCAUGUUGGACAUAUUAAAGCUUUGGCGGUAUAAGAUGGGUCCGCGUCUGAUUAGCUAGUUGGUGGGUAAAGGCCCACCAAGGCGACGAUCAGUAGCCGGCUUGAGAGAGUGGACGGCCACAUUGGGACUGAGACACGGCCCAAACUCCUACGGGAGGCAGCAGUGGGGAAUAUUGCACAAUGGGGGAAACCCUGAUGCAGCGACGCCGCGUGAAGGAAGAAGGUCUUCGGAUCGUAAACUUCUAUCAGCAGGGAAGAAGGAAGUGACAGUACCUGAGUAAGAAGCCCCGGCUAACUACGUGCCAGCAGCCGCGGUAAUACGUAGGGGGCGAGCGUUAUCCGGAAUUACUGGGUGUA
This 449-nucleotide ribosomal RNA is filed under the name uncultured bacterium. RNAcentral describes it as "bacterial SSU rRNA". It matches the Rfam family "Bacterial small subunit ribosomal RNA", at positions 96 to 562 of the family's 1533-position model. The record is from RNAcentral.